GAUGAACGCUAGCUACAGGCUUAACACAUGCAAGUCGAGGGGCAGCAUGGUCUUAGCUUGCUAAGGCCGAUGGCGACCGGCGCACGGGUGAGUAACACGUAUCCAACCUGCCGUCUACUCUUGGACAGCCUUCUGAAAGGAAGAUUAAUACAAGAUGGCAUCAUGAGUUCACAUGUUCACAUGAUUAAAGGUAUUCCGGUAGACGAUGGGGAUGCGUUCCAUUAGAUAGUAGGCGGGGUAACGGCCCACCUAGUCUUCGAUGGAUAGGGGUUCUGAGAGGAAGGUCCCCCACAUUGGAACUGAGACACGGUCCAAACUCCUACGGGAGGCAGCAGUAAGGAAUAUUAGUCAAUGGGCGAGAGCCUGAACCAGCCAAGUAGCGUGAAGGAUGACUGCCCUAUGGGUUGUAAACUUCUUUUAUAAAGGAAUAAAGUCGGGUAUGUAUACCCGUUUGCAUGUACUUUAUGAAUAAGGAUCGGCUAACUCCGUG
Molecule: ribosomal RNA, 490 nt
Filed under: uncultured bacterium
Lineage: Bacteria
Description: partial 16S ribosomal RNA
Rfam family: Bacterial small subunit ribosomal RNA
Source: RNAcentral